Molecule: ribosomal RNA, 502 nt
Filed under: uncultured bacterium
Lineage: Bacteria
Description: bacterial SSU rRNA
Rfam family: Bacterial small subunit ribosomal RNA
Source: RNAcentral
GAUGAACGCUAGCGGCAGGCUUAACACAUGCAAGUCGUGGGGCAGCGCGAGGUAGCAAUACUUUGGCGGCGACCGGCAAACGGGUGCGGAACACGUACGCAACCUUCCUCAGAGCGGGGAAUAGCCUCUCGAAAGAGAGAUUAAUACCCCAUAGUAUCUCGAAACUGCAUGGUUUUGAGAUUAAAGCUUCGGCACUUUGAGAUGGGCGUGCGGCUGAUUAGGUAGUUGGUAGGGUAACGGCCUACCAAGCCAACGAUCAGUAGCUGAUGUGAGAGCAUGAUCAGCCACACGGGCACUGAGACACGGGCCCGACUCCUACGGGAGGCAGCAGUGAGGAAUAUUGGGUCAAUGGAGGAAACUCUGAACCAGCCAUGCCGCGUGAAGGAUGAAGGUCCUCUGGAUUGUAAACUUCUUUUAUAGUAAGAAGAAACCCCAUUAUUCUUAAUGGGUUGACGGUACUCUAUGAAUAAGCACCGGCUAACUCCGUGCCAGCAGCCGACGG